Molecule: ribosomal RNA, 490 nt
Filed under: Goryphus sp. 4 BFS-2018
Lineage: Eukaryota; Metazoa; Arthropoda; Insecta; Hymenoptera; Ichneumonidae
Description: partial 16S large subunit ribosomal RNA
Rfam family: Archaeal large subunit ribosomal RNA (bases 359-490)
Source: RNAcentral
UCUGCUCCMUGAUUAUUAAUUAAAUAGCUGCMGUAAUUUGACUGUACAAAGGUAGCAUAAUCAAUAGUUUUUUAAUUGAAAGCUGGAAUGAAAGAUUUAAUAAGGUGAAUAUUGUCUCAAUUUUAGUAAAAUUAGAAUUUUUUUUUUAGUAAAAAUACUAAAUUGAAUUUAAAAGACGAGAAGACCCUAUAGAUUUUUAUAAUUUUAAUUAAAAAAAAUUUAAAUUAAAUAAUAAAUUUUAAUAAAAAAUUAUUUGGUUGGGGAAAUUAUUAAAUUUAAUAAAUUUUAAUUAAUUUAAAACAAAAAUUAUUGAGUAAUAUGAUCUUAAUUAAAAAUUUAAAGAAUAAAAUACCUUAGGGAUAACAGCGUAAUUUUUUUGGAGAGAUCUUAUUGAUAAAAAAGUUUGCGACCUCGAUGUUGAAUUAAGAUAAAAUUUUAAUGAAGAAGUUAAAAAUUUUUGGUCUGUUCGACCAUUAAAAUCUUACGUGAU